RNAcentral lists this transfer RNA (73 nucleotides) under Capra hircus (goat). It matches the Rfam family "tRNA". From Rfam's summary of the family: Transfer RNA (tRNA) molecules are approximately 80 nucleotides in length. Their secondary structure includes four short double-helical elements and three loops (D, anti-codon, and T loops). Lineage: Eukaryota; Metazoa; Chordata; Mammalia; Artiodactyla; Bovidae. The record is from Rfam by way of RNAcentral. RNAcentral also lists the same sequence under 1 other name.
UCCCUGGUGGUCCAGUGAUUAGGACUCUGUGCUUCUACUGCAAGAGGCCUGGGUUUGAUCCCUGGACAGGGAA